Molecule: long non-coding RNA, 2381 nt
Organism: Marmota monax (woodchuck)
Lineage: Eukaryota; Metazoa; Chordata; Mammalia; Rodentia; Sciuridae
Exons: 3
Source: RefSeq, a predicted model, not a curated record
AGUGCUUGGCAGUCUGGAGGUGACCUGGCCCCAGGGCAGGAUGAUGGCAUGGUGGAGACACAUUGCAGGAGAUUGCGAACUCAGAUGAUUCUUUCAAGAAGUUUAGCCAAAAGAAUGUUCCAGAGACUGCGGCCUCUACGUACCAGACCAUUGGCGAUCCCUGAACAGAUGUCAACGAGAACCUUCAGACCUCACCAGAGAUCCCCUGUGGGGGCAAAACUGCCCACAGGGGCCAAGGCUACAAAAUGACCCUCCAGCUCUGUGGCUCCAGAGAGUGCUGGCCUCCCUCUGCGCAUGCUGGAACUCUGGCAAAUAUCUGUAAUUAAGCAUCUUGUCGUCAGAAAGAUUAGUCAAAACCAGGCUGAUCCCGGACAACUGAUGGAAAUCUCGUUCCACACAAAUUACGGCAUGGAAAAUAAUGAUGGGUAAUUAGUGUCUUUCCAUCAGGGCUUUUUAUCCACGGUUUUCCAGGCUGCAUCCAUCAUAAUGAGAAGAGAGAGGCUGUUGAAGCAGAAAGAGAUGACUGGAUGUGGAGUGGCUGCCUGGACAGCAGGGAGGGUCCUGUCCCCAGCCUGCAGACGGCCUCUGCUGGCCCUUUGAAACGUGGGUCCGCUCAGUCAGUGCCCCCAUGCCAGGCCCCAAAGUUCCUGGGCUCUUAUUUCAGCUGGCUCAGCCAGCUCUGGGUCUGACCAUCUCAAAGAGGUAUGUGAGGGCGAAGGAGAGCGUCCAAAGUUCAGAAUAUGCUCCCAACACACCCCUUGGGUCCUCCCAUUCAGAUGCUGCAGGAGAUCUGCCAUCUGGGAAUUUAUCUCACCUCCUCUUGUUUUUUUUUCCUUCCCAGAACUGGGGAUGGAACCCAGGGGUGUUCUACCACUGAGCUACAUCCCCAGCCCUUCUUAUAUAUAUUUUGAGACAGGAUCUCGCUAAGCUGCCGGCUGGCCUGGAACUUGCUCACCUACUGCCUCAGCCUCCCGAGUCUCUGAAAUUACAGGCAUGUGGCACCUCUUCUUCUACCUGCUUUGAUUUGCCCCCUAUGUCAAGCAGUGGGGUGGCACCAACGUCCCCCCAUUGUCCUUGAACAGACUCCACAGUGAAUUCUGCACAUGGCAUUGAAUUCUCACAAGGGCCCUGGGGCUGGGCUAUGUGGCUUGGUGUAGAGCUGGACUGCUUGGGUUCGAAUCCCAGUUCUGCCCCUUAUGAACUGGGUUAUUGAAUCAGAAAGUGCCUCUGUUUCUUUUUCUGUAAAAUGGGGAUGAGAAUUAUACUACGCCUCUCUCAGGGUGGUCUUGAGAAUUAGCAAGUUAAUACAGAAAAGAGCCUAGGACAGUGCCUGGAAAACAUAAAGUACUCAGUAAAUUCCAGCAGGUGUUCUCACACCCCCUUUGGGUAAUAAGGAGAUGGCUUCUGCUUACUGUCUCUAAAAAGUUCAGUCUUCCAGCAAGAAACACUCUUCCUCCCUCUCUCCUCCCAUCUUCCACCCGCCCCCGCCCCCCAUGCAUCUACCCAUCCCCCCAGGUAGCAGGCACUUCCACUAAGGAAGUCCCUUUUCAGGCAAAAGGGGUGUCCUUCCCCCACACACACAUACAUACUCAAAGGAAUUGCCAGAUUCUUACAGAUGUCCAAGUUAGGACAAUCGGUCCCUCCCAUGAGGUUUUGGUGCCAGGGCUGCCUCUCUGGGGGCAGAAGCAGCAAGGCAGAGAGCUCAAGAACUGAGCAAGUCAUGUGUCCCACCAGUGUGCGGUGAGAGGAAGAAUAUGGAAGCUGGCAGCAGAGAAGAGCAAGGGUCAGAGGCAGAAUGUUCUAGAGCCUCAGUUGCUGCCGCCAGUAGCCCUGAAGCCAAGCAGUGCCUGUGCUCAGCCGAGUGAGCAUGGGCGGUUCCCUGGUGCCUUAGUUCACAGGAGGGGGCUUACUUAACCAAAAGAAUAGCUCACGCCCUCUCGCCCUCUCGCUGGCUCGCUCAUACCUUCAGGUCCUGUCCCAGUAUCUGCUGCACCCAGACCCUGCUCCAGCCCUGGGGAUACACCUGUGGUCCAGGUGCCCAGGUCCCUGCCUCAGGAAAGCCAGUUCUACAUUUCAGACUGCUCUGCCCCUCUACCUCCUGCAACCCCUCCAUCUGCAGGUCCCUGGAAGCCCUCUGGGGACUCCAAGGCCCUGGAAGAUGGCAGAACCACAAACCGGAAGGCCCCAGAACCGCCUCAUGAGAAGGCUCCUGCCAAACACCGUCACCGAAAUGUUACCUGAGCAAUAGGAACUUCUGUGCCCAGGUGUGGAGAGUAAGAGUCGGCGCUGCCCACUCUGCUGUGACAAGGAAUCCUCCAGGGGUAUAAAGUCAGUCAGUGCCCAGGGCCACCCGGGAAAGCAGGGGAGGACACAGGGUGACA